This 60-nucleotide transfer RNA is filed under the name Bullacta caurina. RNAcentral's name for it is "tRNA-Arg". Lineage: Eukaryota; Metazoa; Mollusca; Gastropoda; Cephalaspidea; Haminoeidae. The record is from RNAcentral.
CUAAAAAGCGAACUAUCGCACUAAGUUUCGGCCUUAGCUUUGCUCACCAAGCUUUAGGAU